This is a ribosomal RNA of 1254 nucleotides. It matches the Rfam family "Bacterial large subunit ribosomal RNA", at positions 1700 to 2925 of the family's 2925-position model.
CCUUGAAGGCAUACGUCGAUUGUGGUGUGGUUCGCAAGAACCACCGCGAUCGAUGGGCCUAUCGCGUGCGAGAUCGACGUCACCUGAUGCAACGCAUCGUGCCUUUCUUCAUGAAGCACCCGCUCAAGACCAAAAAACGGGUGGACUUUCUGAAGUUUCGGCGGGUGCUGCGGCUGAUGGAGGACGGCGAACACCUGACCUGUGAAGGAAUGGAAAAAAUCCGCCACAUCGCCGAUCGCAUGAAUCGCAAGGGACAAUCAAGAUAAAGUCCAGCCUUUUUGGAAACAAAAGGGAAUAACUGAGCGAAGUUCCUUGUCGGGUAAGUUCCGACGCGCAUGAAUGGUAUAACGACUGGAGCACUGUCUCAACAGGGGGCUCGGUGAAAUUGAAAUGCCGGUGCAAAUGCCGGCAACCCGCGGUAGGACGAAAAGACCCCGUGGAGCUUUACUGGAGUUUGGCAUUGGGGCUUGAUGCACUCUGUGUAGGAUAGGUGGGAGCCUGUGAAGCCGGGGCGCCAGUCCCGGUGGAGGCGUCCUUGAAAUACCACCCUCUGUGUAUUGGGUCUCUAACCUAGCGCCGUGAAGAGCGGUGCGGGGACCGUGCUAAGCGGACAGUUUGACUGGGGCGGUCGCCUCCCAAAAAGUAACGGAGGCGCGCAAAGGUUCCCUCAGGCUGGUUAGCGAUCAGCCAUCGAGUGUAAGGGCAUAAGGGAGCUUGACUGCGAGACCUACAAGUCGAGCAGGUGCGAAAGCAGGCCCUAGUGACCCUGCGGCUCUGUGUGGAAGGGCCGUGGAUCAUCGGAUAAAAGUUACCCCGGGGAUAACAGGCUAGUACCGCCCGAGAGUCCACAUCGACGGCGGUGUUCGGCACCUCGAUGUCGGCUCAUCUCAUCCUGGGGCUGGAGCAGGUCCCAAGGGUCCGUCUGUUCGCCGGUUAAAGAGGUACGUGAGCUGGGUUCAGACCGUCGCAAGACAGGUCGGUCCAUAUCCACCGUGGGCGCAAGAAACUUGAGGGGCUUUCUCCUCAGUACGAGAGGACCGGGAGGACCGGACCGCUGGUGCACCAGUUGUCCCGCCAGGGGCACCGCUGGGUAGCUAAGUCCGGAAGAGAUAAGCGCUGAAGGCAUCUAAGCGCGAAGCUCACCCCAAGACGAGGUUUCUCAGACCCCUCCGAGACUAGGAGGUUGAUAGGCCGCAGGUGUAAGCACGGCAACGUGUUCAGCCGAGCGGUACUAAGGGUCGAUUGCUUGCAAUG